AUACGUAGGGGGCGAGCGUUGUCCGGAAUGACUGGGCGUAAAGGGCGUGUAGGCGGCGGUGUAAGUCUGGAGUGAAAGUCCCGCAUUCAAUGUGGGAAUUGCUUUGGAUACUGCAGUGCUAGAGUGCGGAAGAGGUAAGUGGAAUUCCCAGUGUAGCGGUGAAAUGCGUAGAGAUUGGGAGGAACACCAGUGGCGAAGGCGACUUACUGGGCCGUAACUGACGCUGAGGCGCGAAAGCGUGGGGAGCGAACAGGAUUAGAUACCCUGGUAGUCCACACUGUAAACGAUGAAUGCUAGGUGUAAGAGGUAUCGACCCCUUUUGUGCCGGAGUUAACACAAUAAGCAUUCCGCCUGGGGAGUACGGCCGCAAGGUUGAAACUCAAAUGAAUUGGCGGGU
RNAcentral lists this ribosomal RNA (397 nucleotides) under uncultured bacterium. Its description in RNAcentral is "partial 16S ribosomal RNA". It matches the Rfam family "Bacterial small subunit ribosomal RNA", at positions 523 to 918 of the family's 1533-position model. The record is from RNAcentral.